RNAcentral lists this ribosomal RNA (417 nucleotides) under uncultured bacterium. RNAcentral describes it as "bacterial SSU rRNA". It matches the Rfam family "Bacterial small subunit ribosomal RNA", at positions 29 to 429 of the family's 1533-position model. The record is from RNAcentral.
AGCGAACGUUAGCGGCGGGCCUAACACAUGCAAGUCGUGCGAGAAAGUCCUUCGGGACCGGUAAAGCGGCGCACGGGUGAGUAACGCGUAGGCAACCUACCCUCCAGAGGGGGACAACUUUCCGAAAGGAAAGCUAAUACCGCAUAAGACCACAGUAUCUGCGGAUACAGUGGGAAAAGAUGGCCUCUCCAUGGAAGCUAUCACUGGAGGAUGGGCUUGCGUCCCAUCAGCUUGUUGGUGAGGUAAUGGCUUACCAAGGCGAAGACGGGUAGCUGGUCUGAGAGGAUGAUCAGCCACACUGGCACUGGAACACGGGCCAGACUCCUACGGGAGGCAGCAGUGAGGAAUAUUGGGCAAUGGGCGCAAGCCUGACCCAGCCACGCCGCGUGAGUGACUAAAGGCUUUCGAGUUUGUAAA